CGGGUGCGUAACGCGUAUGCAAUCUGCCUUGUACAGAGGGAUAGCCCAGAGAAAUUUGGAUUAAUACCUCAUAGUAUUAUUGAAUGGCAUCAUUUAAUAAUUAAAGUUCCAACGGUACAAGAUGAGCAUGCGUCCUAUUAGCUAGUUGGUGUGGUAACGGCAUACCAAGGCUACGAUAGGUAGGGGUCCUGAGAGGGAGAUCCCCCACACUGGUACUGAGACACGGACCAGACUCCUACGGGAGGCAGCAGUGAGGAAUAUUGGACAAUGGGCGCAAGCCUGAUCCAGCCAUGCCGCGUGCAGGAAGACGCAUCUAUGGUGUGUAAACUGCUUUUGUACGGGAAGAAACACUCCCUCGUGAGGGAGCUUGACGGUACCGUAAGAAUAAGG
Molecule: ribosomal RNA, 390 nt
Filed under: uncultured bacterium
Lineage: Bacteria
Description: bacterial SSU rRNA
Rfam family: Bacterial small subunit ribosomal RNA
Source: RNAcentral